GAUAUGUUCGAUAGUGACUUCGAUGAAGAUGAACCUGAGCCAGAUGAGGAAGUAGAAAAUGAAGCAGAUGAAAGGGUUCGCACAAAGAAGCGUCUGAUAUUUCCUGGAAAGUCUUCUACGAA
Hibiscus syriacus is the source of this 122-nucleotide long non-coding RNA. RefSeq lists it as uncharacterized. The transcript is spliced from 3 exons. The record is from RefSeq and is a predicted model, not a curated record. NCBI's taxonomy places the organism in Eukaryota, Viridiplantae, Streptophyta, Magnoliopsida, Malvales, Malvaceae.